RNAcentral lists this ribosomal RNA (253 nucleotides) under uncultured bacterium. RNAcentral describes it as "partial 16S ribosomal RNA". It matches the Rfam family "Bacterial small subunit ribosomal RNA", at positions 524 to 776 of the family's 1533-position model. The record is from RNAcentral.
UACGAGCGGCCCAACCGUUAUUCGGAAUUACUGGGCUUAAAGAGUUCGUAGGCGGCGCAGAAAGUAGGGUGUGAAAGCCCUCGGCUUAACCGAGGAAUUGCGCUCUAAACUACUGUGCUUGAGGAACCUAGAGGUGAGCAGAACAGAUGGUGGAGCGGUGAAAUGCGUUGAUAUCAUCUGGAAUACCGGAGGCGAAGGCGGCUCACUGGGGGUUUUCUGACGCUGAGGAACGAAAGCCAGGGUAGCGAACGGG